Molecule: non-coding RNA, 31 nt
Filed under: Homo sapiens (human)
Lineage: Eukaryota; Metazoa; Chordata; Mammalia; Primates; Hominidae
Source: RNAcentral
UUGACAGGGCCUAAGUGACAUACCCAGAGUC